AAGGCAGCAACGGAUCGCAGCAGCCCCUGUUUUCUUGUCAUAUUCUUUAAAUAUAUCUGAAUUCCGAUCGAGUCCAACGAUGAGGCCACAGCCCGUCUUUCCGCUCGAAGCCAAGCUGCUUGCCCUCGAUUCUUCCCUCGCCGGAUUCUGUCAUCAGCUCCUGCGAUCUCGUCUCUCUUUCGCAUUAUUAUCGGAUUGAUGGAUAACUUUCUUUUCUUUCUUUCUUUCUUUCUUUCUUUGUCCUUCCCUUUCUCGUCAGAGCAAAGCAAAAAAAAUCUUUCCGCUGCGGGUCUUCUCAACUCCCAUCUCCUCUUCGCUCCUUCUUCCUUCUCUUUUUUCUGUUCUUUCACUUCGUUUUUCUUUUUCUGGUGCUUUGUUUUGUUUCCUCUCAAGAACGCAAGCGGACAUUGUUUUAGUUUAGGGGCAAGGGCGUGAUUCUUUUGUUCCCUUUCUUGAAAUAAAAAGCGAAGAAAUUCUUUCGCGGGAUUCCGUCCGAUCCCAACCAGGGCCGGGCGGCCUCCAAUGAGCGUGGAGGGAUAAUAAGCGCAGGGAGACUAAUGGAGACCAGAAAGGUCGGCAAGUAUGAGGUCUGCCGGACUAUCGGGGAGGGCACCUUCGCCAAGGUCAAAUUCGCCAUCAACACCGAAACCGGAGAGAGCGUCGCCAUGAAGGUCCUCGCCAAGGCCACCAUCCUCAAGCACAAGAUGGUCCAUCAGUUAUGCCUUUUCUUCUUCCCCUUCUCCUUCUCCUUCUUCUUCCGUUUUUUCGUGCUCACCGAAUUUGACAAGACCCCGCCUGAAUUAUUGCUUCCUCUUCUAAUUAUGUCCUGCCGCCUCCAUUCUUUUGACUCAUAAUUCUAGGACGGGAAAGAUCUUUAGAUUGCGCGGAGAAAAACAUGAGCAUUUGCUGCCCUUUUUCUCGAGUAUCGGUUGUUCCCCAUGAUUUUGUUCAGGGAAGGGAAUUGAUGAAAACAGUCCACUGUUUUUCCAACUCAGUAGAUAGAAGUCUCCCUUGAAGCCCAAAACAUCAUGAUCUCAUUUCAAAGCUUGUUCAUUAAAUUCCAAAAAUUCUUAAACUAAGUGAGCCAGAGGAGGAGGGAAAAAAGGAAAAAUACUGUUGUGGUUGAAAUUUGGCCUGAGGGUGACCAAGCCGGACGAAGCAAGGAGAAACAAUACAAAGCAAUUCAAAACACUCAGAAACUGCUAACUUAACCAUCGGAGGGCCUUCGCCGGAAUCCCCAGCCAAGGCUUUGUGCAGGUACAUCCGAGCGCAGGAGGUAGCUCCCUUUCUCCGUCCCGGCCGGCGGCUUCUGAGCUUCGUCCGGCAUGGUCACCCUCAGGCCAAAUUUCAACCACAACAAAUACAAUAGGUGCAGGACCGGGAUAAAGAUAUGCAAUCCACAGUCGAUUACUUAGAAUCAUCACAUUGUUGACUUAUUUCAAACGAACAUAGGUUUUGGAAAUCUAAAUCGGCCAAGACUUUGAAAAGGAUGAACAACGUUCAUCUGCUUUCGUUUUAAUUUCUGUUUUCAGUGGCUCAACGCAGGAUUCGAGAUUGGAUGAUUAAGGUGGAUGAUCAACAUCAAUUUGACAGUGCGUUAAAGAGAGAAAAAGAAAAAAAAUCCCUCAAAGGUUUUUGGGAAACGUUGACAUUCUCCUGAGCUUGGCUUGUUCCAACGUUAAUGUGUUCACAUGCAUCCAAUGUAUUAGACCACAAGCCUCUGAGAACACAACCUAAAUUGCUAGCAGACAACACGGCAGGAACUUUCAGCUAACCCUGCAUAGUGAUGAUGGCAGAUGAUUUUGUAUGCCAUGUAGUCUAUUGCAGCACAGAGUUCUAGAAAUAAUAGAGAGAUGCUAAAAACGAUUAGAAACAAGUGUAGCAGAUAAUUUCAUGGAGUUGGACUUCUUCACACAACAUGUGGGACCCCAAACUAUGUUGCUCCUGAGUAAUUUUGCCAAGUUAUUUGCCAUACACUGGUAUAAAAACAAGCAGCUGGGCUUCUAGGAACUCCAGCAACAAGGUUUUGAUGGUUCCGCAGCAGAUACAUGGUCAUGUGGAGUCAUCCUAUAUGUUUUAAUGGCUGGAUAUCUUCCUUUUGACAAGACUGAUUUUCCAACCUUGUAUAGAAAAGGGAUCACUGACAUUCUUGUCAGCGAACAUUUUUAUAAGUAUGAUUUCAGGGAAUACAUUUUCUCAAGCAACAAACAUACUGUCAUUAAAUCUGCAGUCCAUCCAUGAAGAUGCCCUUCCAAUUCCUUAUGAGCAAGGAAAUAAUGUUACCGUCUUGUGGCCUUUGACUUGGAUAAUUGCACUAUGGUGUUAGAGAUCAUUCUUUUGCCUACGUGCAUGCUCGUUGAAUUACAUAUGCAUUUCUAUAGUGUCUACUAAGUAUAUAAACUAUGUGUAUAGGUCUAGGAUUAGGAUAUUCUGAAAUGCUUUCAUCAUUAUAUCAAAGGCAUCGAGAGUUAAGAUCUUAACUGGAGAAUGUUGAAGGGCGUCUUAUAUAAAAAGGGGAUUAUUCAAAUUCAGGAUGACAAUUCCAAUGUAAAUUCAAAAAGUCAUUACUUUACAAAAUCUUCUUUAUUUAAGAUGUAACUAUUUUAGAUGCUUUAAUUGGGUGGACAGUUUGACUAGAUAAUCAUAACUAAAUCUAAUUGAAAUGAUUAAACUAAAAUAAUGGAAAGUUGGGAACUGAUUUCAUCUAAACUUCUGAGAUUUUUGUCAAGUAAUUAGACAAAGUGUUGGACGUUUGUAACAAUUCAGAACAAGCCAUAGUAAGAUUGGGAAAAUGAGAAUUUUUUGAUAAAAACUUAGAUUGAUUUGAUAACUUUCAUUAUUUUGGAGAAAUAUGUCACGACAGAGUUAGCUAUAUUCAGAAAAUCAGUACUUCAAUCCUUAGUAUGUUGCUUCAAUCCUUAAUAUGUCACAUGCUUUCUGUCUCUGCUUAGAUAGUUUAAUAAAUUUAUAUCGAGGAGUGAGAUAGGAGCAAGAGUACAGGAGCUACUGGGUUGGGUCCAGGUUUUAGUACACCUGGACCUAGACCUCUUGGAGUUUUGGGUCUAAGUUUUGUUUCAUGCCUAUUUGAAGGACUGGAUCAGGUCUUAACUCGAGCAAUAAAAAUAUCAUAAGACCCAUCUGGUUUUCAGGCCGGUUCAAGUAUGUUAAGACCUGUGUCUGACCUAAUAGUCUGAGCAAUUAGUCAAGUUAAAACUAUCCAUGCUUUGAGAAUCUUAUUAAUGUAACAUCCAAUUAUGUGCUGCAAAAGUUAAAACAUGAUCAACAAGCAUUUGAUAGUUACCCAUAUAACAAUGAUUGAGGAAAAACAUAAAAUAUACACUUGAUCUAAAGUCAAGUUCAAACACCAAACAUGUCCUAACAUGGGAUUAUUUUUAUCUAUCCCUUUUAAGUUAUAGAACAUUCAUAUACAAAGAGUUCAGAAUUGAAGGGUAUAAAUAAAACUGAUAUUAUAUAAAUAGUAUAAAUGAGGUUAUUCGUCAGGACUGAAUUAGGUCAGGUCUAAAAACCUUAAACCUAGACGUGACGUGAAAUUUUCAAUGGGUCUGACUUUGAACCCAUACCCCCAACCCAUUCAUUGGUGUGUCAUAGCGGGGUCGACGGGGACCAGGUUGGGUAACGGGUUUAUGGGUUGGAGUAACAGCCCUAAGUGGAAGUGGGAGUGCCGGGGGGGGGGGGGGGGGGGGUGGGUAAGCAAAGUUAAAGAAUAAUCUUGACAAAGUGAACUGGAGGAAAUGCUGAUUCAAUUGAGUAUCAAAAUUCAAAGGUCAUUAGAAGUGUCCUAUGCUCUGACUUGUAUAAAGUGAUUUUAUAAUUGCUAAUAUCACCAAAUAUGAAUUUCGCACUGAACUGACAUGAUCUCUGUUCCCCUAACUGCUGUAUUGUUCCAGAAGCUUGCUUUCCACAAUGCAGUGCAAAUAUUCCUGACCACUUAAAAGUUAGAUUCCUUUACUUUCAAUCUGCUACAUUAGCUGUUUUCAGUGCUGACAUAUCUGAUGACUUUGCAGAUCAAUGCAGCAGAAUUUUCCUGCCCACCUUGGUUUUCUUCAGAAGUUAAAUUGAUGAUACCAAAAAUCAGUAUUGGAUGCUGGCUGCCAUGCUUUGGGCUAUGGACUGUGAGAGGUAUCCGUAGAUGGGCUUUUUUUAUCGUAUGAUGAUGGUUGCUAAGGAGCAGAUCAGAUAGGCAGAUCCAUUGAAUGCCUGAGUACAUAGACAUCAUUGAGCAGAUGCAGGACUACCAAAUGGGUAGGACGCUGCAUCUAGCAAUGUGAUAUGCAAGAUGGAGCCUGAUCCAGAUGUCGUAACACAAUGUUUUGAGUAGGUUAAUUAAUUUAGUUCUCCAAGAAUGGCAAGCUGGAGCAUAUCAUCUGGAGACCAACAGAAGCAGCUGCUAAAUCUUCACUGCGCAGGACAACAACUUGCUGAACUACUCUAAGAUCUGUUGCAAAUGUAAUAAUUAGUGCUUGUAGCUCAUCCCAUGUGCAUCGACGGGCCAAUGUGAGAGGAACCAGUUGUUGCCGCCACCGUCAUCCAUAUGUCAAACCAGUUUGUGAGGUAUUCAGGUGUAUUUAUAUGAGGAGCAUCAUUCAAAUCGCUUCCUUAUUCGAAAUGACUUGUAGUAAUUGUUGCUGGCUGUUUGUCCAUAAAGAACAGAUUCUUUAUGUAGUUGCAGUCUGUACAUAUACGAUAAUCCGAGGUCACUAGUAAUGAAGUUUUGCUGAAGAUCCUUCCCAUUCUUUUCUCUAAAA
Phoenix dactylifera (date palm) is the source of this 4766-nucleotide non-coding RNA. Lineage: Eukaryota; Viridiplantae; Streptophyta; Magnoliopsida; Arecales; Arecaceae. The record is from RefSeq and is a predicted model, not a curated record.